AGCUUUGCACAGUGGCAGUAUUGUAGCCAAUGAGGUUUAUCCAAGACGUGAUUAUUGCUAACUGAAAACUUUUCCCAAUACCCCACCAUAACGACUUGAAAUAUAGUCCGCAAUGGAAUUUUUGACAGUCUCUAUGGAGA
Small nuclear RNA from Kogia breviceps (pygmy sperm whale), 140 nucleotides. RefSeq annotates it as U4 spliceosomal RNA. NCBI's taxonomy places the organism in Eukaryota, Metazoa, Chordata, Mammalia, Artiodactyla, Physeteridae. The record is from RefSeq and is a predicted model, not a curated record. The transcript has a single exon.